Molecule: ribosomal RNA, 550 nt
Filed under: Meyerozyma sp.
Lineage: Eukaryota; Fungi; Ascomycota; Pichiomycetes; Serinales; Debaryomycetaceae
Description: partial large subunit ribosomal RNA
Rfam family: Eukaryotic large subunit ribosomal RNA
Source: RNAcentral
AGCGGAGGAAAAGAAACCAACAGGGAUUGCCUUAGUAGCGGCGAGUGAAGCGGCAAAAGCUCAAAUUUGAAAUCUGGCGCCUUCGGUGUCCGAGUUGUAAUUUGAAGAUUGUAACCUUGGGGUUGGCUCUUGUCUAUGUUUCUUGGAACAGGACGUCACAGAGGGUGAGAAUCCCGUGCGAUGAGAUGCCCAAUUCUAUGUAAGGUGCUUUCGAAGAGUCGAGUUGUUUGGGAAUGCAGCUCUAAGUGGGUGGUAAAUUCCAUCUAAAGCUAAAUAUUGGCGAGAGACCGAUAGCGAACAAGUACAGUGAUGGAAAGAUGAAAAGAACUUUGAAAAGAGAGUGAAAAAGUACGUGAAAUUGUUGAAAGGGAAGGGUUUGAGAUCAGACUCGAUAUUUUGUGAGCCUUGCCUUCGUGGCGGGGUGACCCGCAGCUUAUCGGGCCAGCAUCGGUUUGGGCGGUAGGAUAAUGGCGUAGGAAUGUGACUUUACUUCGGUGAAGUGUUAUAGCCUGCGUUGAUGCUGCCUGCCUAGACCGAGGACUGCGAUUUA